This 463-nucleotide ribosomal RNA is filed under the name uncultured bacterium. RNAcentral describes it as "partial 16S ribosomal RNA". It matches the Rfam family "Bacterial small subunit ribosomal RNA", at positions 28 to 507 of the family's 1533-position model. The record is from RNAcentral.
GACGAACGCUGGCGGCGUGCUUAACACAUGCAAGUCGAACGGAAAGGCCUUUUCGGAGGUACUCGAGUGGCGAACGGGCGAGUAACACGUGGGUGAUCUGCCCUGCACUCUGGGAUAAGCCUGGGAAACUGGGUCUAAUACCGGAUAGGACCGCACUUUAGUGUGUGUGGUGGAAAGUUUUUUCGGUGUAGGAUGAGCCCGCGGCCUAUCAGCUUGUUGGUGGGGUAAUGGCCUACCAAGGCGGCGACGGGUAGCCGGACUGAGAGGUUGGUCGGCCACAUUGGGACUGAGAUACGGCCCAGACUCCUACGGGAGGCAGCAGGGGGGAAUAUUGCACAAUGGGCGCAAGCCUGAUGCAGCGAGGCCGCGUGGGGGAUGACGGCCUUCGGGUUGUAAACUCCUUUCGCCAGGGACGAAGCGUUUUGUGACGGUACCUGGAGAAGAAGCACCGGCUAACUACGUG